CUUAUCUAAAUGGUUUCCAUUGAUGAAAAUAAAAUAGCAGAGCAAACCCACUUGAGGAUCGUCUAUGUUAGAAUGGAAACAAAAAAGGAAAAAGAUAGAAACAGACUCCACAACGCAAUCUUGAUGAGAGAAAAGAGAUGGGCAAAACAGAGAGCAACUUUUGCUUUCUCUUUUAGACUAAUUUUUUAAUAUAUAUUAUUGAUUUUAGUGAUGAUUCUUCUUCUGUAG
This 228-nucleotide unclassified non-coding RNA is filed under the name Hevea brasiliensis (rubber tree). The record is from RNAcentral. Lineage: Eukaryota; Viridiplantae; Streptophyta; Magnoliopsida; Malpighiales; Euphorbiaceae.